GGGUGUAUGCCGCAGCUUCAAAAAGAUUCAACGGGAUUUGUUAAGGUGAUCGCCAGUUUAAGUACCCUGGGCAGACGUUUUCUUUUUCGACUGUUGCUCCUCAAAAAUCCUGAGGCAUCGUUUCGGUGUCGACGAUCGCGGAAGCACUUAAAGCCAAGAAAUAUGACCACGUAAUCCUUGUGUGUGUGUGUGUAUUUGGUGCUCGAGGCAUGUUGCAUCCAUCCCGUACAAGAGAUGCGCUUAUGCUCGUCUUCAGCCCAUUAUGCUACCUCGUCCAAAGCCGUUUCGAAUCGUACACACCGAGGGAGAGAGUGAGAGAGAGAUUGAAGGGGUUCGUCGUUCGUUUGCUUCUUCAUCUCCUUACGAUGCUCCACUCAAGCUGCACACUGUUAUGUUCAGGCUUUUAUCAUUCAUUUUUUGCCUGCUGCUGCACUGUUCACCUUUAAAGCCGCGGCAUUCGUGUAUUCGCUGGUGGAAUCCGCCGUACGUAUAAGAGCGGUGGUCGUGUAACCAUCAUCUUCAUCUGCUGCGGUGAUCGUGAGGCCUCCUGCUCGUCACAUCCUCGUCACAUUAUAAAUAUCGAUGAUGUAACGAUCGAUGAAUUUCGCACAUCGGCCUCCCAUAAUCGCACUUCAUUGCACCAUCGCACAAACAACACCUGAGCGGCAAAGCGACGAACCUGGCUGCCUUUCUUGAGCUCAACAGUCACCACCAACAUCCAGACACAAUCCAAACAGAUCGAUUUCGGAAUUAAUUGCCGCUGAAAUGCACCUGUCCGUUCACGGGUCCUACCCCCUCCCUCCGCCCCCCUCCUGCAUGCUCGCAAAGGAUUUAACGAUACAGCUCACGCACGCGCUAUAAGCGAUCGUUUCAAAUCUGCCUGUCACAACGCCGUAUACUGCUCACAGCCGCGGCCAACCCUUUCACACGACAUUCCAAAGGGUGAGACAACGCGGACAGGCGAACGGACGGACGCACGGUGUUCCUUUUUUUGUUGUGGUUGCGGUGUUACCCACAGACCAAGGCGCGCGCGCACGGCCACUCUUCCACCCCACACUAACACACAGCCGGACGCACAGAAACACUCAGCGAUCCACGGGGCACAGUCUUGCACAGUGUUUAAGACCAGCGAGCGAUGCUGGCUGCUACUGCCGAAGUCAAGAGAUCGCGGUGAUCGUAAUAGCGUGAUGCUUCAUCAACUUGCUGACCUGACACCGAACGGACGACACCAAGAUCGCUGAGUCGAAUGUUGACGGUGCUCAGGGUGCUGAACACUCGGACCCCUACUCUCGGCCCCGGUGAGUUCGUUCAGGGUGGGAUCGACGACCACCCGCUGCUGGAUUUCAGCUGCUUCCCACGAAAAGGCGCUGAACCGUGUAGCGCAACGUAACACACUCGCACGGUAAGAAAGCUCGGCUGAGAAUGACGAUCGUUGAUACAGCGACGAACGUCUCAUGCCGCAUACGCGAGUUGGUGGGAUACAACACUAUAGGCUUUGGGGUGGGUAAAUAUGGAUGUUUAUAUGAUUGAAUGCUCAGUUUGAAGGCAUUGGAGGUGACUUAGUACGUGACUAAUGAGACAAUCAAUAUUUAAAGUUUUAGCACAAUGUUGACUAGACGGGCGAGAUGUUUUUUCAAUUGUUUCUCAUCCUAAAAUUCAGCCCAUUUUUUGAAGAACUUCGACCAUGAUUUUCUUCACUGUUAUCCUUGCCUAAGGGCAUCGAAGUUUCAUUCCUUGAAUCUCUCCUAUAGUGACACGAUCGCACCACUACAUGCAACGGUUCGCUGCUGGCGCUUGCCUUACCUUCACGAAAACGUUUCCCAGCUACUGCGCGCGAGUCGCACCGGAACGCGCAAAACCAGUUUCUUGGCUGCGAGCUUUUUCGCGCACCAGAGCUUUAAGGGGGCUUCAAACACACUCAUCUCCCAAAACGAGGAGAGCUGUUGAAGCGCGUAGGUCUGUAAAUCUUUUGCCAAUCUCAGGAUUAAUGAAGUAGAAUGUUUUGCUGAUAGUAUUACAGUGUUAAAAGAAUCUGAGAUCUUCUUGGGAAGCUCCUAUAUUUUUAAGGUCACAUCAUUGCCUUAAGACCCAUACUGAGCGAUAUGGUAUCCCCUUCUUCGAAAGGCACCAGUCUUUAUUGCACCCACUCACACGCACGAUGCAUUACAAAACAGUGUAGGGCUGGCUGAAUGUAACGUAUCGGAAUGUAGUAGUUGCAGAACUACUACAGCGAAGGAGGGCGCAUCGAAUGUGAACGCAUUCCUUUUUAAGAGUGCCCUCCCAGUCAGUCGGCCUAGCGAAACGAGAGUGAAUCGCACCGAAAUCGGCAAGUGGAUUGGUAGCUUCGAUGUGACUCGCGCUCACCGAAUGACAAACGCGUUUCACUCUUGGGACCCAUAUCAACUGCUAUCUGAACAGUUUUCUCCGUAGCUGAGGUCAGAACGUGCGCAGGAUGCCCAGGGGAUAUGUAACACUUUAAAUUAUUUUAUGGAUGUAUCAUACUAGAAGAUGCCGUUAAGGUAUCACUGUCGGUCGUCAGAUCAAUGACUGCGAAAAAGAAAAAAUAAACAAAUUAUGCAUGAAAACACGGAA
This is a long non-coding RNA of Anopheles stephensi (Asian malaria mosquito), 2592 nucleotides long. RefSeq lists it as uncharacterized. The transcript has 4 exons. NCBI's taxonomy places the organism in Eukaryota, Metazoa, Arthropoda, Insecta, Diptera, Culicidae. The record is from RefSeq and is a predicted model, not a curated record.